Molecule: long non-coding RNA, 501 nt
Organism: Haliotis rubra (blacklip abalone)
Lineage: Eukaryota; Metazoa; Mollusca; Gastropoda; Lepetellida; Haliotidae
Exons: 3
Source: RefSeq, a predicted model, not a curated record
UUUGAAAGAGGAAAGUAGAUAUAUGUAACAUGAUAUGUUACAAGCAUCCCAUAGAGUCUGCAUAGUCAGGAUUGGAUAUGCUAAUAAUGAAUGAAAAUGCAUGAAAGUGGAAAGUACAUAUAUGUAAUAUAUGUUACAAACAUGGGCUCGGUUAUCACAACAUGUUGGUGUCAGGAUCAGCAUUUGAAAAUUUCAACCUCAAGUUAUCAGUCAUUAUACUCUGGAUUUUAAAAUGAUUUUAAUACAGAAACACAUAUUACCUGUCUUUGGUACCCACAUUCUGUAAAUUCAGAAUAGCAUUGAACAAUCUGAAGAUACAUACCUCGAACAAGGUAAUUGCCUAAAAUUGUUGCUAUAACUUUAGUCUGUAUACAUUAUGUCAGAAAUAUUUGUGAUGAAAAAGGUCAUCUCAGUUUUGAAGACCUAAAAAAGCGGUACAAAAUAGAAAUAAUUCAAAUGGAUCUUAUGGAAACAAAUUUGGAAAUUUGACUAUAAAUUGUA